RNAcentral lists this ribosomal RNA (217 nucleotides) under uncultured bacterium. Its description in RNAcentral is "partial 16S ribosomal RNA". It matches the Rfam family "Bacterial small subunit ribosomal RNA", at positions 1284 to 1500 of the family's 1533-position model. The record is from RNAcentral.
CGGCUCAGUUCGGAUUNAAGGCUGAAAUUCGCCUUCAUGAAGCUGGAAUUGCUAGUAAUGGCAGGUCAGCAUACUGCCGUGAAUACGUUCCCGGGCCUUGUACACACCGCCCGUCACACCAUGAGAGUCGGAAAUACCCGAGGCCUGUGAGCUAACAGUAAUGAGGCAGCAGUCGAAGGUAGAGCCAAUGAUUGGGGUGAAGUCGUAACAAGGUAGC